CCACAGCCCAAAAUCCUCUCACCACCCGAUGCCCACAUAAAGCAGCGUGUCAUGACAUUUAGCGCAUGUUAGUGAUCCGACUGAUGAAAAAUAAAGAUUCCCCUGGUUUCUCCCUACACAUAAAGAGUCCUGUUACCAGCUGACACUAUAGUCACCUGAACAACUUUAGCUUAAUGAAGCAGUUUUGGUGUAUAGAACAAGCCCCUGCAGCCUCACUGCUCAAUCCUCUGCCAUUUAGGAG
Pelobates cultripes (western spadefoot toad) is the source of this 241-nucleotide non-coding RNA. Lineage: Eukaryota; Metazoa; Chordata; Amphibia; Anura; Pelobatidae. The record is from the annotation of a GenBank genome assembly.